AGCAGCCGCGGUAAUUCCAGCUCCAAUAGCGUAUAUUAAAGUUGUUGCAGUUAAAAAGCUCGUAGUUGAAUUUCGGGAUCAAUAUGCUGGUCGUGCCUUUGGUACGUACUGGUAUUAUUGGUUUCUCCUUUCUGAUGAAUCACGAUGUCAUUAAUUUGGUGUCAUGGGGAAUCAGGACUGUUACUUUGAAAAAUUAGAGUGUUUAAAGCAGGCUUACGCUUGAAUACACAUUAGCAUGGAAUAAUGAAAUAGGACGUUUAAUUCUAUUUUGUUGGUUUCUAGGAUUGACGUAAUGAUUAAUAGGGAUAGUUGGGGGCAUUAGUAUUCAAUUGUCAGAGGUGAAAUUCUUGGAUUUAUUGAAGACUAACUACUGCGAAAGCAUUUGCCAAGGAUGUUUUCAUUAAUCAAGAACGAAAGUUAGGGGAUCGAAGACGAUCAGAUACCGUCGUAGUCUUAACCAUAAACUAUGCCGACUAGGGAUCGGAUGAUGUUAAUUUAUGACUCAUUCGGCGUCCG
This 516-nucleotide ribosomal RNA is filed under the name uncultured Glomus. Its description in RNAcentral is "SSU rRNA". It matches the Rfam family "Eukaryotic small subunit ribosomal RNA", at positions 569 to 1089 of the family's 1831-position model. The record is from RNAcentral. Lineage: Eukaryota; Fungi; Glomeromycota; Glomeromycetes; Glomerales; Glomeraceae.